Molecule: ribosomal RNA, 500 nt
Filed under: uncultured bacterium
Lineage: Bacteria
Description: partial 16S ribosomal RNA
Rfam family: Bacterial small subunit ribosomal RNA
Source: RNAcentral
AUUGAACGCUGGCGGCAGGCCUAACACAUGCAAGUCGAGCGGAUGACGGGAGCUUGCUCCUUGAUUCAGCGGCGGACGGGUGAGUAAUGCCUAGGAAUCUGCCUGGUAGUGGGGGACAACGUUUCGAAAGGAACGCUAAUACCGCAUACGUCCUACGGGAGAAAGCAGGGGACCUUCGGGCCUUGCGCUAUCAGAUGAGCCUAGGUCGGAUUAGCUAGUAGGUGAGGUAAUGGCUCACCUAGGCGACGAUCCGUAACUGGUCUGAGAGGAUGAUCAGUCACACUGGAACUGAGAAACGGUCCAGACUCCUACGGGAGGCAGCAGUGGGGAAUAUUGGACAAUGGGGGGAACCCUGAUCCAGCCAUGCCGCGUGUGUGAAGAAGGUCUUCGGAUUGUAAAGCACUUUAAGUCGGGAGGAUGGGCUGUAGGCUAAUACCUUGCAGUUUUGACGUUACCGACAGAAUAAGCACCGGCUAACUUCGUGCCAGCCGCCGCGGUAA